GUGGCUCAGUUCAGAUCGUAGGCUGCAACUCGCCUACGUGAAGUAGGAAUCGCUAGUAAUCGCAGGUCAGCAUACUGCGGUGAAUACGUUCCCGGGCCUUGUACACACCGCCCGUCACACCAUGGAAGUUGGCCAUGCCCGAAGUCGUUACUCCAACCCUUGUGGAGGAGGACGCCGAAGGUGGGGCUAAUGACUGGGGUGAAGUCGUAACAAGGUAGCCGUACCGGAAGGUGCGGCUGGAUCACCUCCUAACAGGGAGACAACAAAAUGUUUAUAUUUAUUAUUUUGUCACCUUAGGUCGAUCGGUAUCUCACAUUCUUAAUUUAUUAAGGAUUUCAAUUCCUAAGUUUUUCUAGGUCACACCCAUUUUUUUUCCUGGGCCAUUAGCUCAGGUGGUUAGAGCGCACCCCUGAUAAGGGUGAGGUCCCUGGUUCAAGUCCAGGAUGGCCCAUAUCUCUCUAUGUUGGGGGUAUAGCUCAGUUGGUAGAGCGCCUGCUUUGCAAGCAGGAUGUCAGCGGUUCGAGUCCGCUUACCUCCACUGAUUACCACCUCUUUCAUAUUCUUUAUGAAGGAAAAAAUUUGUGUUGUGAUCAAAUUCUGAACGAAUCUAGCUUCCUAAUGAAUUCAUUAAGAUGCUGGACUCAUUGAAUUAAUUUCAUUGUUUUCAGAGAACCUUGACAACUGCAUAGAUUUUUUUAAAGACAAUAAGCAUCUUUAAUGAUGCAGAUUUAUUAUUUGUGC
Molecule: unclassified non-coding RNA, 741 nt
Filed under: uncultured Prochlorococcus sp.
Lineage: Bacteria; Bacillati; Cyanobacteriota; Cyanophyceae; Synechococcales; Prochlorococcaceae
Description: partial contains 16S ribosomal RNA and 16S-23S ribosomal RNA intergenic spacer
Rfam family: Bacterial small subunit ribosomal RNA (bases 1-252)
Source: RNAcentral